Molecule: unclassified non-coding RNA, 263 nt
Filed under: plant metagenome
Description: partial contains small subunit ribosomal RNA, internal transcribed spacer 1, and 5.8S ribosomal RNA
Source: RNAcentral
UUUCCGCAGGUGAACCUGCGGAAGGAUCAUUAUUGUAUAACCGAGGUGCGAGGGCUGUCGCUGACCCGAAAGGUCGUGCACGCCCGAGUGCCCUCACACACAUCCAUCUCACCCCUAUGUGCACCACCGCGUGGGUCCCCCUUUGGCUUGUUCGGAGGGGGGCUUACGUUUUCACACAAACUUUGUAUGUAGUGUAGAAUGUAUUUUUUGUUUUUGCGAUCACGCAAUCAAUACAACUUUCAACAACGGAUCUCUUGGCUCUC